GACGUAGGGGACGAGCGUUGUCCGGAUUUAUUGGGCGUAAAGCGCGCGCAGGCGGUUACGCAAGUCGGGAGUGAAAAUCCGGGGCUCAACCCCGGACCUGCACCCGAUACUGCGUGACUAGAGGUAGGUAGGGGAGAUCGGAAUUCCUGGUGUAGCGGUGAAAUGCGCAGAUAUCAGGAGGAACACCGGUGGCGAAGGCGGCUUCCUGGACCGACACUGACGCUGAGGCGCGAAAGCUAGGGGAGCAAACGGG
RNAcentral lists this ribosomal RNA (253 nucleotides) under uncultured bacterium. Its description in RNAcentral is "partial 16S ribosomal RNA". It matches the Rfam family "Bacterial small subunit ribosomal RNA", at positions 524 to 776 of the family's 1533-position model. The record is from RNAcentral.